RNAcentral lists this ribosomal RNA (1305 nucleotides) under metagenome. RNAcentral's name for it is "SSU rRNA". It matches the Rfam family "Eukaryotic small subunit ribosomal RNA", at positions 251 to 1606 of the family's 1831-position model. The record is from RNAcentral.
CCAUAAUAACUGAUCGAAUCUCUUUUUGAGAUAAAUCAUUCAAGUUUCUGCCCUAUCAGCUUUCGAUGGUAGUGUAUUGGACUACCAUGGCAGUAACGGGUAACGAAGAAUUAGGGUUCGAUUUCGGAGAGGGAGCAUGAGAAACGGCUACCACAUCUAAGGAAGGCAGCAGGCGCGUAAAUUACCCAAUCCUGACUCAGGGAGGUAGUGACAAGAAAUAGCAAACCGGGAACCUCAUGGUUUCACGGUAUUGCAAUGAGAACAAUUUAAAACCCUUAGCGAGAAUCAAGUGGAGGACAAGUCUGGUGCCAGCACCCGCGGUAAUUCCAGCUCCACUAGCGUAUAUUAAAGUUUUUGCAGUUAAAAAGCUCGUAGUUGAACCUCUGUCUGGGGCUAGUUUUGGCUUUGGUCAGGCUAGUUCUAGGCAUCCGCCUACAAGACUUAGAGGGCAUUCAGUUGUUCACUAGGAGGAGUAGGCAUUUUACUUUGAAAAAAUUAGAGUGUUUAAGGCAGGCAAUCGCCCGCAUAUAUUAGCAUGGAAUAAUAGAAUAGGACACUUUUCCAUUUCGUUGGUUAUUGGAAUCGUGUAAUGAUUAAUAGGGACAGUUGUGGGCAUUUGUAUUUAAUUGUCAGAGGUGAAAUUCUUGGAUUUAUUAAAGACAAACUAACGCGAAAGCAUUUGCCAAGGAUGUUUUCAUUAAACAAGAACGAAAGUUAGGGGAUCAAAGACGAUCAGAUACCGUCCUAGUCUUAACUAUAAACUAUUCCGACUCAAUGUUUGACUGGCUUAUAUAACCAGUUGAGCGUUGUAUGAGAAAUCAAAGUCUUUAGGUUCUGGGGGGAGUAUGGUUGCAAAGCUGAAACUUAAAGGAAUUGACGGAAGAGCACAACCAGGAGUGGAUUCUGCGGCUUAAUUUGACUCAACACGGGGAAACUUACCAGGUUAAAACAAUAGUGGGAUUGACAGUUUGAGAGCGCUUUCUUGAUUGGUUGGGUGGUGGUGCAUGGCCGUUCUUAGUUGGUGGAGUGAUUUGUCUGCUUAAUUGCGUUAACGAACGAGACCUUAACCUGCUUACUAGACUGGCGAUCAUCAAUCGUUAGCUCUUCUUAGAGGGACUUUGGUUGUUUUAACUCCAAGGAAGUUUGAGGCAAUAACAGGUCUGUGAUGCCCUUAGAUAUCCUGGGCCGCACGCGUCAUACAAUGACUAGUUCAGAAAGUUUUCUCCUGACCCGAAAGGGGAUGGGUAAUCUCGAUAAUACUAGUCGUGUUAGGGAUCGAUCUUUGCAAUUAUAGAUCUUGAACGA